CACAUCUUUCUACCUGGCA
This 19-nucleotide unclassified non-coding RNA is filed under the name Mus musculus (house mouse). Its description in RNAcentral is "oocyte_clustered_small_RNA4158". Lineage: Eukaryota; Metazoa; Chordata; Mammalia; Rodentia; Muridae. The record is from RNAcentral.